Molecule: ribosomal RNA, 453 nt
Filed under: Thelazia callipaeda (thelaziosis nematode)
Lineage: Eukaryota; Metazoa; Nematoda; Chromadorea; Rhabditida; Thelaziidae
Description: partial 12S ribosomal RNA
Source: RNAcentral
UUUUAAUUUUUAACUCUAAUUGUUGUGAAACUUUUUUCUUUUAUUUUUUUUUAUUUAAUGUUUUGUAAAAUAUUUAUUAUUUUUUUAUUUUUGUGAGAAGUUUUUUAAAUUUGUUUUAUUGAACUGGAUUAGUACCCAGGUAAUCAAAAUUUAUUAGUUCGGGAGUAAAGUUGUAUUUAAACCGAAAAAAUAUUGACUGACCUUAGAUUUUUUUUUGGAACAUGUUUUGGAGAGCCCUCCUUGGUAGUUUUUUUUUAGGUACAUGUAUGAUUGUUUAGUUUUUAUAUUAAUUUUGAGGCUUGUUUUUGUUUUAAAACAGAUAUAUACUUGGCUAAUAAAAGAUUUUUUAUGUGUUACUAUUUUUUAUUUAUCCGGAUGUAAUUUUUAUUAAUUAUUGAAGUUGGAAAAAAAAGUAAUUUUAUUUUAAUGUUAAAGUGAAUUAAAUAAAUGAGG